Molecule: ribosomal RNA, 2926 nt
Filed under: Salmonella enterica subsp. enterica serovar Enteritidis
Lineage: Bacteria; Pseudomonadati; Pseudomonadota; Gammaproteobacteria; Enterobacterales; Enterobacteriaceae
Description: partial 23S ribosomal RNA
Rfam family: Bacterial large subunit ribosomal RNA
Source: RNAcentral
GGGUUGUGAGGUUAAGCGACUAAGCGUACACGGUGGAUGCCCUGGCAGUCAGAGGCGAUGAAGGGCGUGCUAAUCUGCGAUAAGCGCCGGUAAGGUGAUAUGAACCGUUAUAACCGGCGAUACCCGAAUGGGGAAACCCAGUGUGAUUCGUCACACUAUCAUUAACUGAAUCCAUAGGUUAAUGAGGCGAACCGGGGGAACUGAAACAUCUAAGUACCCCGAGGAAAAGAAAUCAACCGAGAUUCCCCCAGUAGCGGCGAGCGAACGGGGAGGAGCCCAGAGCCUGAAUCAGCAUGUGUGUUAGUGGAAGCGUCUGGAAAGGCGCGCGAUACAGGGUGACAGCCCCGUACACAAAAGCGCAUGUGCUGUGAGCUCGAUGAGUAGGGCGGGACACGUGGUAUCCUGUCUGAAUAUGGGGGGACCAUCCUCCAAGGCUAAAUACUCCUGACUGACCGAUAGUGAACCAGUACCGUGAGGGAAAGGCGAAAAGAACCCCGGCGAGGGGAGUGAAAAAGAACCUGAAACCGUGUACGUACAAGCAGUGGGAGCCCCACCACCAAAGCAUUUGCUGUACCGCGUUGACGGAGCGAAGCGACGUCAAACCGAUAAAACAGCAGUGUAAAGUGAGCCGCAGGGCGCUUUGCGCGACAGCGCAAAGGCAGGCGGUUUCGCGUAGCGAAAGCGAAUGCUUUGGGGUGGGGUGACUGCGUACCUUUUGUAUAAUGGGUCAGCGACUUAUAUUCUGUAGCAAGGUUAACCGAAUAGGGGAGCCGGAGGGAAACCGAGUCUUAAUUGGGCGUUAAGUUGCAGGGUAUAGACCCGAAACCCGGUGAUCUAGCCAUGGGCAGGUUGAAGGUUGGGUAACACUAACUGGAGGACCGAACCGACUAAUGUUGAAAAAUUAGCGGAUGACCUGUGGCUGGGGGUGAAAGGCCAAUCAAACCGGGAGAUAGCUGGUUCUCCCCGAAAGCUAUUUAGGUAGCGCCUCGUGAAUUCAUCUCCGGGGGUAGAGCACUGUUUCGGCUAGGGGGCCAUCCCGGCUUACCAACCCGAUGCAAACUGCGAAUACCGGAGAAUGUUAUCACGGGAGACACACGGCGGGUGCUAACGUCCGUCGUGAAGAGGGAAACAACCCAGACCGCCAGCUAAGGUCCCAAAGUCAUGGUUAAGUGGGAAACGAUGUGGGAAGGCCCAGACAGCCAGGAUGUUGGCUUAGAAGCAGCCAUCAUUUAAAGAAAGCGUAAUAGCUCACUGGUCGAGUCGGCCUGCGCGGAAGAUGUAACGGGGCUAAACCAUGCACCGAAGCUGCGGCAGCGACACUGUGUGUUGUUGGGUAGGGGAGCGUUCUGUAAGCCUGUGAAGGUGUGUCGUGAGGCAUGCUGGAGGUAUCAGAAGUGCGAAUGCUGACAUAAGUAACGAUAAAGCGGGUGAAAAGCCCGCUCGCCGGAAGACCAAGGGUUCCUGUCCAACGUUAAUCGGGGCAGGGUGAGUCGACCCCUAAGGCGAGGCCGAAAGGCGUAGUCGAUGGGAAACGGGUUAAUAUUCCCGUACUUGGUGUUACUGCGAAGGGGGGACGGAGAAGGCUAUGUUGGCCGGGCGACGGUUGUCCCGGUUUAAGCGUGUAGGUGUGUGUUCCAGGUAAAUCCGGUUCACUUUAACACUGAGGCGUGACGACGAGGCACUACGGUGCUGAAGCAACAAAUGCCCUGCUUCCAGGAAAAGCCUCUAAGCAUCAGGUAACAUCAAAUCGUACCCCAAACCGACACAGGUGGUCAGGUAGAGAAUACCAAGGCGCUUGAGAGAACUCGGGUGAAGGAACUAGGCAAAAUGGUGCCGUAACUUCGGGAGAAGGCACGCUGACACGUAGGUGAAGUGAUUUACUCAUGGAGCUGAAGUCAGUCGAAGAUACCAGCUGGCUGCAACUGUUUAUUAAAAACACAGCACUGUGCAAACACGAAAGUGGACGUAUACGGUGUGACGCCUGCCCGGUGCCGGAAGGUUAAUUGAUGGGGUCAGCGCAAGCGAAGCUCCUGAUCGAAGCCCCGGUAAACGGCGGCCGUAACUAUAACGGUCCUAAGGUAGCGAAAUUCCUUGUCGGGUAAGUUCCGACCUGCACGAAUGGCGUAAUGAUGGCCAGGCUGUCUCCACCCGAGACUCAGUGAAAUUGAACUCGCUGUGAAGAUGCAGUGUACCCGCGGCAAGACGGAAAGACCCCGUGAACCUUUACUAUAGCUUGACACUGAACAUUGAGCCUUGAUGUGUAGGAUAGGUGGGAGGCUUUGAAGUGUGGACGCCAGUCUGCAUGGAGCCGACCUUGAAAUACCACCCUUUAAUGUUUGAUGUUCUAACGUGGACCCGUUACCCGGGUUGCGGACAGUGUCUGGUGGGUAGUUUGACUGGGGCGGUCUCCUCCUAAAGAGUAACGGAGGAGCACGAAGGUUGGCUAAUCCUGGUCGGACAUCAGGAGGUUAGUGCAAUGGCAUAAGCCAGCUUGACUGCGAGCGUGACGGCGCGAGCAGGUGCGAAAGCAGGUCAUAGUGAUCCGGUGGUUCUGAAUGGAAGGGCCAUCGCUCAACGGAUAAAAGGUACUCCGGGGAUAACAGGCUGAUACCGCCCAAGAGUUCAUAUCGACGGCGGUGUUUGGCACCUCGAUGUCGGCUCAUCACAUCCUGGGGCUGAAGUAGGUCCCAAGGGUAUGGCUGUUCGCCAUUUAAAGUGGUACGCGAGCUGGGUUUAGAACGUCGUGAGACAGUUCGGUCCCUAUCUGCCGUGGGCGCUGGAGAACUGAGGGGGGCUGCUCCUAGUACGAGAGGACCGGAGUGGACGCAUCACUGGUGUUCGGGUUGUCAUGCCAAUGGCACUGCCCGGUAGCUAAAUGCGGAAGAGAUAAGUGCUGAAAGCAUCUAAGCACGAAACUUGCCCCGAG